UGUUAAAAUAUUCAUCUAUUUGUACCAUUAAAAAUUAGCGUGAUUGGCAGAGUAAUCAACUAAGGACAUGUGAUGUGCCAUGUGUACCUCAUGCUGACGUACAUUAACUAAUUUUUCUACUAAUCAAUUUUUUAACA
This 137-nucleotide microRNA precursor is filed under the name Gossypium arboreum. RNAcentral describes it as "MIR7502 microRNA precursor family". It matches the Rfam family "MIR7502 microRNA precursor family". The record is from Rfam by way of RNAcentral. Lineage: Eukaryota; Viridiplantae; Streptophyta; Magnoliopsida; Malvales; Malvaceae.